UGCCGGAGUGGUGGAACUGGCAGACGCGCAUGGUUCAGGUCCAUGUGGAGGUAACUCCGUGGAGGUUCGAGUCCUCUCUCCGGCAU
Molecule: transfer RNA, 86 nt
Filed under: bacterium
Lineage: Bacteria
Description: tRNA-Leu
Rfam family: tRNA
About the family: Transfer RNA (tRNA) molecules are approximately 80 nucleotides in length. Their secondary structure includes four short double-helical elements and three loops (D, anti-codon, and T loops).
Source: RNAcentral